UACAGAGGGGGCAAGCGUUAUUCGGAAUUAUUGGGCGUAAAGGGCGCGUAGGCGGCUUGGCAAGUGGAAGGUGAAAUCCCUCGGCUUAACCGAGGAACUGCCCUCCAAACUGUUUGGCUUGAGACCGGGAGAGGUGAGUGGAAUUCCCAGUGUAGCGGUGAAAUGCGUAGAUAUUGGGAGGAACACCAGUGGCGAAGGCGGCUCACUGGACCGGUACUGACGCUGAGGCGCGACAGCGUGGGGAGCAAACGGG
RNAcentral lists this ribosomal RNA (253 nucleotides) under uncultured bacterium. RNAcentral's name for it is "partial 16S ribosomal RNA". It matches the Rfam family "Bacterial small subunit ribosomal RNA", at positions 524 to 776 of the family's 1533-position model. The record is from RNAcentral.